CUCCGGUGAGUCCAAAACACACACACGCACACACACACACUAAAACACACUCUUUUACACAGAGUCAGACGGAAACCUCCCCAAUUUCUCUCUCACUGAAAACACACUGAAACUCAGUCAGCAUAAACCCCUCUCCCUCUCUCUCUCUUUUGUCCAUAUUUUCAUCAGUAUAUAAGUAAAACAAAAUAAAUAAGUAAAUAAGUAGAUGAGUUGACGAAUCGACAAUGCGGAAAUUCACUGGUUUCAAUGGCGGCGGUGGAUUGAGGAACGGCGGCGUUUCGUCGGAUCACAACCACCACGUAUCGAUUGGGAUUCGUUCUGGUGCUUUGCAUAAGCAGCAAUCCCGUUACGGUCACCAUCUUCACCACCGUCGGUUAAUAAAGGGUCGCAAGAUCUCCAUCGUCGGCGCCCUUAUUGUCUUUCUCUUCGUUGCCUUCGUCGCCUCUAUCUUCGCUUUCCUCUUCCUCUCUUCAAAAGAUAAAGACACACAUAGUAACUUAAUACAGGAUGAUGACUUCGUAAAUGAUACAGAUUUUCUUACAAAUGUUACACGUACAAAGAAACAUAAUACCGUAAAAUUUGGCCAUGGGUCGGUUACACAUGGUAAAGAUUCGCGUUAUUGGGAUGGUGAUGAUCGGAGACGAGAUGAAGAUUAUCAUGAGGAGGCUAGGGAUCAUUCUGUAAAUAAGGAUCAUGUUCCUGAGAAGGGUAAAAACAGUGGUAGGAAAUCGUCCAGUGAUGAAUCUCAUAAAGGCUUGGGUCAUAGAGGGAAUGGAUUAUAUAAUGAGGCAGGGCGUAAUGAAUUAAAAAUGUAUGAAGCUGAAUAUGAGGCAUCUUUGAAGAACAUUGGGCAGUCAAAAGAACAUGAUGGUGGAAAUCAGCUAUCUCAUGAUCGUACUAGUAGUGGAAAUGAGACUGAGAUGGUGGAUCCUGAUGAUGAGUAUGAUGAUGGUAUUGACUUACAGGAUGGUAGGAAGGAAGACGAUGGUGAAAUGGAACAGGAUGAUGGGGACCAUUCUGGUGCAACUGCAUCAUAUGAUCUAGAUGGUGGAGAGUCUGCUAAUUUACAUAAAGCCCAAACCAAGCAUCAAAAUAUUGUUCACGAGGUUGAUGAAGCUUCCACUGAUUUAUCUGACAAGGAGUCAGCUUCCAGCUCAGAACAUUCUGGCAAAGUUCCUGGUAAUUCAAGACAUGCACGUCCUAUUGAUAGUCAAUAUUCUAGAAGGUCUGCUACUGAAAAACGGUCUGGUUCCAAAAAGAAGUCAAAACGCCGUAAAUUUUCUGGUUCUUGCGAGAUGAAACUUCUAAACUCUACUGCACUGCUUGUAGAACCUUUAGAAAGCCGAAAAUUUGCAAGGUUUUCCUUGCAGUAUACAGAAGCAGAAGAAAAACCCGAUGAUGAUGAAGAGUGGCAACCUAGAUAUGCUGGGCAUCAGAGUCUAAGAGAAAGGGAAGAAUCUUUUAUUGCACAUGAUCAGAAAAUAAACUGUGGCUUUGUAAAAGGUUCUAGUGGAUAUCCUAGUACAGGAUUCGACCUGGCAGAAGAUGAUGCUAAAUAUAUAAGCAGUUGUCACAUUGCUGUGGUGUCUUGCAUUUUUGGAAAUUCAGAUCGGUUGAGAAUACCUGUUGGAAAAAUGGUCUCUCGUUUAUCCAGAAAAAAUGUUUGCUUUGUUAUGUUUGUUGAUGAAGCUACUUUACAAGCUCUUUCUUCGGAGGGCCAUAUGCUAGACAGAAUGGGCUUCAUUGGACUGUGGAAAGUUGUAGUAGUGAAGAAUCUGCCUUACACUGACAUGCGGAGAGUAGGAAAGGUUCCAAAAUUGUUGUCACACCGACUUUUUCCUUCAGCUAGGUAUUCAAUCUGGUUAGACAGCAAGCUACGUCUACAGCUUGAUCCACUGCUUAUCUUGGAAUAUUUCCUCUGGCGGAAAGGUCAUGAAUAUGCUAUUUCUAAUCACUAUGAUCGCCACUGUGUGUGGGAGGAAGUUGCUCAAAAUAAGAAGCUUAACAAGUACAAUCAUACUGUCAUAGAUGAACAAUUUCAAUUUUACCAAAAUGAUGGGCUAAAACGAUUUAAUGCAUCAGAUCCUAACAAACUUCUUCCUAGCAAUGUACCUGAAGGGUCCUUCAUUGUACGAGCUCACACACCUAUGUCAAACCUGUUUUCUUGUCUUUGGUUUAAUGAGGUUGAUCGAUUUACUCCUCGUGAUCAGCUGAGUUUCGCAUACACGUAUCAUAAGUUGAGGAGGACAAACCCAGAAAAACCAUUUUAUCUAAAUAUGUUUAAGGACUGUGAGAGGCGAAAGAUGGCCAAGUUGUUUCGUCACAGGUCAGAGGAGAGGAAAACCGUACAACAUGAUAUAGAGUAGUUCUGGAUGGAACUUUACCUGGGAAGGGUGAUUCAUUCUUUUGUAUGUUUACAUCAUUACAACUGGAUUCAUUGGUUCAAUUCUUCCGGCCCAUUUGUUGUAAAGUGAUGAUUAAUCAAUCUGCUCAAUUUGCUCCUGGUAGUCUGCCAAGUUGAUGUAUAAGAAUUGGAUGUUUGCACCUUGUGGACACGGCUCCAGGAAAGGCAGUAGUAUCUUCAUUUUUCCACUUCAAAGAACCAUUUAGUGUCCCGCACAGCCAGUACCUGAAUAUUAGCCAAAGACUCGCCUUGAGACAUACUUCUGGAAGCAACAUCAAUCUUGAGAAGGUUUCUAUUCAUCUCAUUAAUUGCAGAUGUGAGCAAAUUGCAAAGCUCCAAGAUGCGUAAACUCUUAUUCAUGUAUUCAUCCACCAACUUGCUUAUGCCAUUCCAUGUGCUCGUCGGUACUUGCAAGCUCUAAAGUAACAGAAGAAACUCAGCAUGCAUUUUCUUUAGCAGAAUCACAGCUUCUGUGCACCUUUCUGAAUGUCAUGCGCCAACGAAGCAAACAAUGGCGCAACAUUGUUCUUAGUGAUGGUGUACGGGCUAUCUUCAAGCUGAAAUGGAGCAAGACAGGUGAUGAAAUACGCCUUACCCAUUUGCUUUCUAUACUUAGCUAGAAACCCUUAACCAAAGAAUUAUAAUCUUAGAAAGACAACCGUGCCAUUUACAGAAGAUCAUUAGCAGCAUCUUCAAACAAAUAGCUUGGAGUUAUGGUUAAAGAAUUAUAUUAGGAUAUUGGAGGAAGCCAUUCGCUAGUGUUGAAGGAUCUCUACCUUGUUAUACAAUACUAUGAAAUCUAUUCCUAUUUGUGUAAAAGAAUGUUUGUAGCACAA
Molecule: non-coding RNA, 3240 nt
Organism: Coffea arabica (coffee)
Lineage: Eukaryota; Viridiplantae; Streptophyta; Magnoliopsida; Gentianales; Rubiaceae
Source: RefSeq, a predicted model, not a curated record